UGCAAGUAGAACGCUGAAGGAGGAGCUUGCUUCUCUGGAUGAGUUGCGAACGGGUGAGUAACGCGUAGGUAACCUGCCUGGUAGCGGGGGAUAACUAUUGGAAACGAUAGCUAAUACCGCAUAAUAGUAGAUGUUGCAUGACAUUUGCUUAAAAGGUGCAAUUGCAUCACUACCAGAUGGACCUGCGUUGUAUUAGCUAGUUGGUGGGGUAACGGCUCACCAAGGCGACGAUACAUAGCCGACCUGAGAGGGUGAUCGGCCACACUGGGACUGAGACACGGCCCAGACUCCGACGGGAGGCAGCAGUAGGGAAUCUUCGGCAAUGGACGGAAGUCUGACCGAGCAACGCCGCGUGAGUGAAGAAGGUUUUCGGAUCGUAAAGCUCUGUUGUAAGAGAAGAACGAGUGUGAGAGUGGAAAGUUCGCACUGUGACGGUAUCUUACCAGAAAGGGACGGCUAACUACGUGCCAGCAGCCGCGGUAAUACGUAGGUCCCGAGCGUUGUCCGGAUUUAUUGGGCGUAAAGCGAGCGCAGGCGGUUAGAUAAGUCUGAAGUUAAAGGCUGUGGCUUAACCAUAGUACGCUUUGGAAACUGUUUAACUUGAGUGCAAGAGGGGAGAGUGGAAUUCCAUGUGUAGCGGUGAAAUGCGUAGAUAUAUGGAGGAACACCGGUGGCGAAAGCGGCUCUCUGGCUUGUAACUGACGCUGAGGCUCGAAAGCGUGGGGAGCAAACAGGAUUAGAUACCCUGGUAGUCCACGCCGUAAACGAUGAGUGCUAGGUGUUAGACCCUUUCCGGGGUUUAGUGCCGCAGCUAACGCAUUAAGCACUCCGCCUGGGGAGUACGACCGCAAGGUUGAAACUCAAAGGAAUUGACGGGGGCCCGCACAAG
RNAcentral lists this ribosomal RNA (889 nucleotides) under uncultured bacterium. RNAcentral describes it as "bacterial SSU rRNA". It matches the Rfam family "Bacterial small subunit ribosomal RNA", at positions 56 to 929 of the family's 1533-position model. The record is from RNAcentral.